Long non-coding RNA from Pogoniulus pusillus (Red-fronted tinkerbird), 710 nucleotides. RefSeq lists it as uncharacterized. NCBI's taxonomy places the organism in Eukaryota, Metazoa, Chordata, Aves, Piciformes, Lybiidae. The transcript is spliced from 3 exons. The record is from RefSeq and is a predicted model, not a curated record.
UUAGUUGGGUUUUGUUGCUUUUUGGGCUGUGGGGUUUUUGGUUUGGAUUUUUUUGUGCUCAGUUUGAACAACAGAACAUCUGUUCCCGAGCCCAGCAGCUGGACCAGAAUGGAAUGACGUUAGCAUCACUUAUCCUCCGGGAGGAGGAGGCUGACGGCAGAGCGGUGCAGAUCUGCUGAGCACUGAAUAGCAAAUGAGAGCAGCUCAGCUGGGUGAGUCCUGUUCCCAGAGAGUCCUCCCAGCACCCUGCCUGCCCGAGCCCUGCUGCUGGGGGAGCCCACUGCUGCCUACUGCCCCUCCAGCUACCAACCAUCCGCCAUGGGUGUGCAGGGUCCUGCUUUUCUCAGCCUGCUUGGUAAUCCUAAGUAACAGGAGGCAGACGCCCGAAACAUCUCUUGAGGAGCUGGACCUUAAUCCCUGCCUACAGCACCGGUACUCUGGCUCACUGGAAGCUGCCUCCUCCGAGCAUCGUCCUCUCCUAGCCAGGGCAGAAUGCACCGUGAGGAGCAGAGGGAGGUGGGGAACAGGCUCCUUGUGCUCACCAGGACUGAAGUGGGAAGUUUUCCACCCUGGCUGCCCCAGGAGGAGUAAAUUCUGCUGGCACAGCGAGGCAGGGAGCCGUGGGAAGGUGCCUGCUGUCUCACCCUGGAGUGGUUCUUCUCUGGCAUUUCAUUCAUUUUUCAUGGCUGCUGCUGUUGCCUGCAAAUAAA